RNAcentral lists this ribosomal RNA (508 nucleotides) under uncultured Arthrobotrys. Its description in RNAcentral is "eukaryotic LSU rRNA". It matches the Rfam family "Eukaryotic large subunit ribosomal RNA", at positions 87 to 598 of the family's 3401-position model. Lineage: Eukaryota; Fungi; Ascomycota; Orbiliomycetes; Orbiliales; Orbiliaceae. The record is from RNAcentral.
CGGCGAGUGAAGCGGCAACAGCUCAAAUUUGAAAUCUGGAGCCUUUCGGCUUCCGAGUUGUAAUUUGAAGAGGAUGUUUCGGUGCGACCUGGGCCUAAGUUCCUUGGAACAGGACGUCAUGGAGGGUGAGAAUCCCGUACAUGGCUGCAGGUUUGCUUCUAUGUGAAACUCCUUCGAAGAGUCGAGUUGUUUGGGAAUGCAGCUCAAAAUGGGUGGUAAAUUUCAUCUAAAGCUAAAUAUUGGCGGGAGACCGAUAGCGCACAAGUAGAGUGAUCGAAAGAUGAAAAGCACUUUGAAAAGAGAGUUAAACAGUACGUGAAAUUGUUGAAAGGGAAGCGCUUGCAAUCAGACUCGCCUUCAGUUGAUCAGCCUUCCUUCUGGUUGGUGCACUCUGCUGUUGGCGGGCCAGCAUCAGUUGGGGCGGUGGGACAAAGGCGGCAGGAAUGUGGCUCGCUUCGGUGAGUGUUAUAGCCUGCUGCGUCAUGCCACCAGCCCCGAUUGAGGUCCG